CGGAACGUGCCCAGUAGCGGGGGAUAACUACGCGAAAGCGUAGCUAAUACCGCAUACGUCCUAUGGGAGAAAGCGGGGGACCUUCGGGCCUCGCACUAUUGGAGCGGCCGAUAUCGGAUUAGCUAGUUGGUGGGGUAAAGGCUCACCAAGGCGACGAUCCGUAGCUGGUUUGAGAGGACGACCAGCCACACUGGGACUGAGACACGGCCCAGACUCCUACGGGAGGCAGCAGUGGGGAAUUUUGGACAAUGGGGGCAACCCUGAUCCAGCCAUCCCGCGUGUGCGAUGAAGGCCUUCGGGUUGUAAAGCACUUUUGGCAGGAAAGAAACGGUUCCGGAUAAUACCUGGAGCAACUGACGGUACCUGCAGAAUAAGCACCGGCUAACUACGUGCCAGCAGCCGCGGUAAUACGUAGGGUGCAAGCGUUAAUCGGAAUUACUGGGCGUAAAGCGUGCGCAGGCGGUUCGGAAAGAAAGAUGUGAAAUCCCAGAGCUUAACUUUGGAACUGCAUUUUUAACUACCGAGCUAGAGUGUGUCAGAGGGAGGUGGAAUUCCGCGU
Molecule: ribosomal RNA, 559 nt
Filed under: uncultured bacterium
Lineage: Bacteria
Description: bacterial SSU rRNA
Rfam family: Bacterial small subunit ribosomal RNA
Source: RNAcentral